GCUUCACGGAGUCGAUUUCAUCGCUGGUUUUCUUCUACGUGUAUCAUUUGAAUAACCCUUUAUUCAACGAUGAAUUGUCUAUUAUGCUUUAUAGCGUGGCAUGAAUUACAGAUGUCAAGCCUGCAAUAAAACACCUCAUCUGCGAACUGCCCUUUUUUCUUCUUUUUGUUUUCGGUCUCCGUAGAUUGUUAUUUAGGGUCUGCUUUGUUCCAACCACCCAAGCGAAGGGAAACCUAGAGUCAAUAAUAUAAUGUAGAAAUGUGAUUCUUAUGUCGAUAAUAAUCAUGGUAUUGUGAGCAAAUUGAAUUUGUGACACUAAUUUCGCAUGGGUUGCCCUCUUAUUUGAGGUUACAUUUGCCAGCAAUGGAAGUCCCUGAUUGUCCAGUAUGUUGGGACAGGUUUGAUGUCAAUAAUCGUAUGCCUCGUUUGUUAUACUGUGGGCAUACAGUAUGUCAGCUCUGCUUGGAAUACCUCCCAACUGAAACCAGUCUUGGACAAAGAUGGAUACGUUGCCCAGAAUGUCGCAUUCCAUGUGUGUGGAGGGGUGUUCAGCAGCUGCCUAAGAACUAUAUACUGCUACAUGCAUUGGAUUCAUUUCCAGAUACAAACAGAGGACAACCCGUGGCAAAUUUGGUUUCAGCAUUCCUGUCACACAUACAGAUUUUAUUUCCAUUUCCAAACUUUGUUUGGGUAGAUGGUAUAACAUCUCAUAGGUUGUUCAAGCAAAAGGUUUGGGAACUGGUUAAACUCACAAGCAUUGCAGCAUUGGUCUUCUUAUUUGUUCCAAUGUCGUUCAUGCAUUUGCUGUUAGCAUGGUGGACUGCAGCGAUUGGGUUCCUCAUUUUCUUGUGGUUAUUUGUAGCAGGUGCUGGAUUUUGUAUUUUCAUAUUUUUUCUCUGGUGUUCCUAUAAUGUUUUUUCUGGUGUAUGUAAAUACCAUAAGUUCAUUUUCAAGGAGAUAAGAAUUUUGUUGAAAUCAAUUAUCUCUUUCUCUAAUCUCCCUUGACAGAUGAGUAUUAACAUAGAGUGAGCAUCAUUGUAUGCUCGUCUGUACUAAUCUUCCAACACUGAUGUGAGUACAUAAGUAUGCUUAAAAUUUGCACCACUAUUUAGUAAUUUUAAUAAAGUGUAAGUUCCUUCAUUUUACGCAGUAUUCUCUUCAUCAUUUGUCAGAUCUUUGGCAGUUUAUGUUUUCAUAAAAUGUAUUUAUAGAUGCUAUACGAGAUUCAUAUAGGUCUGGCCAGUUAUGAUUUCACAUACAUGUCAGAGGUGCCAGAAGCAGGUAGUUGAUACAGUUCUAAUAAAGAAUGGGACAAUGAUGCUACGAAGGAUUAAUUUCAAUUCAUUAGGUAAUAUUGAAGAAGGGAACCGUGGGGAUAUGAGAGAGCAUGAACAUCUGCCUUAAUGUAUGCGAAUUCUGGUUCAUUAGAAGAGAAUGAUUCAUCCAAACAUCUUUUCAUAAUGAUCAAAUCUGUAUCUUUAAAAUAUCUGAAAAUUGCUACGAAGAAACCCUGUGUAUAGGGGUAUAAUUCCAAUAUGCUUUCUAUGAACGGUGUCCAAUUAUUGAAAAUGCAACUAUGCAUGUGGAAUGCUGGGUUAAAAUUUAUUAUAUUUAUAAAUCACACCAUUUCUUUGCA
Cryptomeria japonica (Japanese cedar) is the source of this 1636-nucleotide long non-coding RNA. RefSeq lists it as uncharacterized. The record is from RefSeq and is a predicted model, not a curated record. The transcript has 3 exons. Lineage: Eukaryota; Viridiplantae; Streptophyta; Pinopsida; Cupressales; Cupressaceae.